Molecule: RNA transcript, 349 nt
Organism: Zea mays
Lineage: Eukaryota; Viridiplantae; Streptophyta; Magnoliopsida; Poales; Poaceae
Gene name: guanosine nucleotide diphosphate dissociation inhibitor pseudogene
Exons: 4
Source: RefSeq, a predicted model, not a curated record
UUCAGAAAAUAUGGUUUAAGUGAUGAUACAGUGGAUUUUGUUGGACAUGCACUUGCUCUUCAUAGAGAUGAUCGUUAUCUCGAUGAACCGGCACUUGAUACAGUGAAAAGGAUGAAACUAUAUGCAGACUCUCUUGCACGCUUUCAAGGAGGAUCACCUUAUAUCUAUCCACUAUAUGGGCUGGGUGAGCUACCACAGGGUUUUGCACGACUGAGUGCUGUUUAUGGUGGUACUUACAUGUUAAACAAGCCAGAUUGCAAGGUUUAAUUCGAUAUGGAGGGGAAAGUGUGUGGUGUCACAUCUGAAGGUGAAACUGCAAAGUGCAAGAAGGUGGUGUGUGAUCCUUUCA